This 506-nucleotide ribosomal RNA is filed under the name uncultured bacterium. RNAcentral describes it as "partial 16S ribosomal RNA". It matches the Rfam family "Bacterial small subunit ribosomal RNA", at positions 29 to 523 of the family's 1533-position model. The record is from RNAcentral.
AUUGAACGCUGGCGGCAGGCCUAACACAUGCAAGUCGGACGGUAGCACAGAGGAGCUUGCUCCUCGGGUGACGAGUGGCGGACGGGUGAGUAAUGUCUGGGGAUCUGCCCGAUAGAGGGGGUUAACCACUGGAAACGGUGGCUAAUACCGCAUAACGUCGCAAGACCAAAGAGGGGGACCUUCGGGCCUCUCACUAUCGGAUGAACCCAGAUGGGAUUAGCUAGUAGGCGGGGUAAUGGCCCACCUAGGCGACGAUCCCUAGCUGGUCUGAGAGGAUGACCAGCCACACUGGAACUGAGACACGGUCCAGACUCCUACGGGAGGCAGCAGUGGGGAAUAUUGCACAAUGGGCGCAAGCCUGAUGCAGCCAUGCCGCGUGUAUGAAGAAGGCCUUCGGGUUGUAAAGUACUUUCAGCGGGGAGGAAGGCGACGCGGUUAAUAACCGCGUCGAUUGACGUUACCCGCAGAAGAAGCACCGGCUAACUCCGUGCCAGCCGCCGCGGUAA